UAGGAAGUUUAAGGGCGUAUAGUGGAUGCCUUGGUUCUUGAUGGCGAUGAAAGACGCGACAGCCUGCGAUAAGCUUCGGUGAGGUGGCAAUAACCUUUGACCCGGAGAUUUCUGAAUGGGGAAACCCAACCGUAUUCAAUGACGGUUACCGAUCGUAUGAUCGGAGCAAACCUAGGGAAGUGAAACAUCUCAGUACCUAGAGGAGAAGAAAACAAUAGUUAUUUCCUGAGUAGCGGCGAGCGAAACGGAACCUAGCCCAAACCCGAAUAACCUCGCUGUGGUUAAUCACAGUAUUGAACAUAGCGAGGUGGAUCGGGGGUUGUAGGACAUUGUCUGUCGUAGAGACAAAAAGUUACAAAUUUUUUACAUAGGUGAGACACUUGGAAAGGUGUGGCAAAGAGGGUGACACCCCCGUAACCGAAAUGUGAAAAACUUUUACAAUGUUCCUGAGUACUUCGAGACACGAAUAGCUCGGAGGAAUCUGCCAGAACUAACUGGUAAGGCUAAAUACAUCAAGAGACCGAUAGUGAACUAGUACCGUGAGGGAAAGGUGAAAAGAACCCCUGUGAGGGGAGUGAAAUAGAUCUGAAACCAUACGCCUACAAGGAGUCAGCGCCGUUGUUUACAACGGUCAUGGCGUGCCUAUUGAAGAAUGAGCCAACGAGUGUAUGCAUGCGGCAGGCUAAGUGCUAUAAAGGCAUGGAGCCAAAGGGAAACCGAGUCUGAAUAGGGCGCAAUAAUUGUCGUACGCAUACGACCCGAAGCCAGGUGAGCUUACCAUGGGCAGGGUGAAGGUGGUAGAAAUAUCACUGGAGGCCCGAACCAGUUGGUCGUACGAUUCCUUUGGAUGACCUGUGGUAAGGAGUGAAAAGCUAAUCGAACCUGGUAAUAGCUGGUUCUCUCCGAAAUAGCUUUAGGGCUAGCGUCGCAUGUUCCUUUUGGGGGUAGAGCACUGGAAGGUUUCGACAGGGAGCAAUCUCGCGAAACCUAUCAAACUCCGAAUACCAAAAGCCAUAAUGCGGCAGUUACACUAUGGGGGCGAAGCUCCAUUGGUGAAAAGGGAAACAGCCCAGAUCUCAAAAUAAGGUCCCUAAAUAUAUACUAAGUGUAAAACAAGAAGGUGAGAUUUCUUAGACAAUGAGGAGGUUGGCUUAGAAGCAGCCAUCCUUUAAAGAUAGCGUAACAGCUCACUCAUCUAGAGAACUUGCGCCGCAAAUAAUCGGGGCUCAAGUGUAGUACCGAAGCUGAGGGUUUGUGCAUUUCAUAGAGGAUUUCAUUCCUCAAAAAUUUCAGGACAGGUGGUCGAGAGGCUAGACAAUAUCUUAUAAAGAUAAGUACGAUGGUUCGAACCCAUCCCCGUCCUCGAAUUUUAAUUUUUUGGUUUAGUUCAAAAAGUAACGAGAAGUAGUUCAAUGCAGAACAUCUUAAUUAUGUUGAGACUUAAAACGUUUAUCAUAUAAAGAGAUAUCGGUUCGAAUCCGAUCUUCUCGAUUCUUUAUUUAUUUUAUUAAAUCAACCGAAUACGAUUCGGAUCUUCUAUGAAAUGCAUAAGCGGUAGGAGAGUGUUGUACUCUGCGAUGAAGCGGAAGGCGUGAGCCACCGUGGAGCGUGUACAAGUAAGAAUGUUGGCACAAGUAACCGCAAGACAGGUGAAAUCCCUGUCCGCCGAAAGACUAAGGUUUCCACCGCAACGACAAUCGACGGUGGGUUAGUCGGGCCUAAGGAGAUGGCGAUAGCCGCAUCCGAUGGACACAUGGUUAAUAUUCCAUGACUUUAUUGCAAGCGAUGGAGGGACGGAGAACAAAAAUCCCCGCGCAUUAUUGGAUUUGACGUUCGUGCUGGUAGAGAGGAUAUCUAGGAAAAUCCGGAUAUCAUAUACUCUCAAAGGAGCGACGAGGUAAGCCUUCGGGUUUGCCAAGGGGGAAGCAGAGUCUUCCAAGAAAAUCUUCUAGCAUUAAUUGCAACGAAUCCGUACCGUAAACCGACACAGGUAGUCAGGUCGAGUAGACCAAGGCGAACGAGUGAGUUAUCCUCAAGGAACUCGGCAAAAAAGCAGCCGUAACUUUGGAAUAAGGCUUGCCCCCACUACUUUGGAUAGUUCCAAAAGUAUGUGGAAGAGUAAAUUGAAUUUUUAGAGACAAAAACAAAACAGAACUCUCAUUAUACAAUAGAUAGAAGUAUCUAAAGUAGUGGGGGCCGCAGCGAAAGUAUCCCUGGCGACUGUUUAUCAAAAACACAGCUCCCUGCGAAAUCGCAAGAUGAUGUAUAGGGGGUGACACCUGACCAAUGCCAGAAGGUUAAAUAUCGGUGGUGUACAGCAUCCUGUUCAUGACUUGUUCGUGAUCAGAAUGCUGUAUGCUGGCUGAUAUAAGCCCUGGUGAAUGUCGGCCGUAACUAUAACGGUCCUAAGGUAGCGAAUUACCUUGUCGGGUAAAUUCCGACGCGCACGAAUGGUGUAACGACUAGGGAACUGUCUCGAGGAUUAGCUCGGUGAAAAUACAAUACCGGUGAAGAUGCCGGUUACCUGCAGUUAGACGAAAAGACCCCGGGAGCUUUACUACAGCUUCACAUUGGGCAUAUUGAUAUUGUGCGUAGCAUAGGUGGGAGAGGUUGAAGCAUAGAUUUUGGUUUAUGUGGACUCGUCAGUGAAAUACCACUCUCAAUUUUGGUAUGUCCUAACCUGUUAGAAAAAACUAACAGAGACAGUGUGUGGUGGGUAGUUUGUUUGGGGCGAAUCCCUCCUAAAUCGUAACGGAGGGGCCUACAAAGGUCAUCUAGGCGUGAAUGGAAACCAUGCCGAUAGUGUAAUGGCAUAAGAUGGCUUGACUGCAAGACGUACAUGUCGAGCAGGCGCGAAAGCGGAGCAUAGUGAACCGACCAUACGCUUUAGACGCGGUGGAAGAUCAACGGAUAAAAGCUACCCCGGGGAUAACAGGCUAGUAUCGCCCGAGAGUUCAUAUCGACGGCGGUGUUCGGCACCUCGAUGUCGGCUCAUCUUAUCCUGGGGCUGGAGAAGGUCCCAAGGGUUCGGCUGUUCGCCGAUUAAAAAGAUACGCGAGCUGGGUUCAGACCGUUUAGGAAUUGUCAUUGAUAUAUUUAUAUAACUUUAAUGAUUCCUAUACCGUCUGAAUCCUCUCAUAAAACGACACAAUCAGGUUUUUUCGUUCUGAUAACCCGCCAGAGUUGGCGGGAUAAAAAUCCAAGUUAUACGUAUCUUGGUCUCAAUUUUAUAUUGAGAAGAUAGACCCAAUCAUUGCGGCGGUCAUAUAUGGUGACAUAUAUGACAUAUUCAACUAAUAUCGGAAAAAUCCUAAUCGAAAGAUGGACAAUUCCGAGGGAAGUAUUUGUGGAUUUCAUAGAGGAGAAGUAAUCCUUAUCGUAUUUUUUCUGAAA
This 3393-nucleotide ribosomal RNA is filed under the name wastewater metagenome. RNAcentral's name for it is "bacterial LSU rRNA". It matches the Rfam family "Bacterial large subunit ribosomal RNA". The record is from RNAcentral.